CCUACGGGUGGCAGCAGUGAGGAAUAUUGGUCAAUGGACGAGAGUCUGAACCAGCCAAGUAGCGUGAAGGAUGACUGCCCUAUGGGUUGUAAACUUCUUUUAUAUGGGAAUAAAAUGUUCCACGUGUGGGAUUUUGUAUGUACCAUAUGAAUAAGGAUCGGCUAACUCCGUGCCAGCAGCCGCGGUAAUACGGAGGAUCCGAGCGUUAUCCGGAUUUAUUGGGUUUAAAGGGAGCGUAGGUGGAUUGUUAAGUCAGUUGUGAAAGUUUGUGGCUCAACCGUAAAAUUGCAGUUGAAACUGGCAGUCUUGAGUGCAGGAGAGGUGGGCGGAAUGCGUGGUGUAGCGGUGAAAUGCUUAGAUAUCACGAAGAACUCCGAUUGCGAAGGCAGUUCACUGGACUGCAACUGACACUGAGGCUCGAAAGUGUGGGUAUCAAACAGGAUUAGAUACCCCAGUAGUC
This 460-nucleotide ribosomal RNA is filed under the name uncultured bacterium. RNAcentral describes it as "partial 16S ribosomal RNA". It matches the Rfam family "Bacterial small subunit ribosomal RNA", at positions 338 to 795 of the family's 1533-position model. The record is from RNAcentral.